This 468-nucleotide ribosomal RNA is filed under the name uncultured bacterium. Its description in RNAcentral is "partial 16S ribosomal RNA". It matches the Rfam family "Bacterial small subunit ribosomal RNA", at positions 28 to 507 of the family's 1533-position model. The record is from RNAcentral.
GACGAACGCUGGCGGCGUGCUUAACACAUGCAAGUCGAACGGAAAGGCCCUGCUUUUGUGGGGUGCUCGAGUGGCGAACGGGUGAGUAACAAGUGAGUAACCUGCCCUUGACUUUGGGAUAACUUCAGGAAACUGGGGCUAAUACCGGAUAGGAGCUCCUGCUGCAUGGUGGGGGUUGGAAAGUUUCGGCGGUUGGGGAUGGACUCGCGGCUUAUCAGCUUGUUGGUGGGGUAGUGGCUUACCAAGGCUUUGACGGGUAGCCGGCCUGAGAGGGUGACCGGCCACAUUGGGACUGAGAUACGGCCCAUACUCCUACGGGAGGCAGCAGUGGGGAAUAUUGCACAAUGGGCGGAAGCCUGAUGCAGCAACGCCGCGUGCGGGAUGACGGCCUUCGGGUUGUAAACCGCGUUCGCCUGUGACGAAGCGUGAGUGACGGUAAUGGGUAAAGAAGCAUCGGCUAACUACGUG